GACAGAGGUGGCAAGCGUUGCUCGGACUCACUGGGCUUAAAGGGCGCGUAGGUGGUCUUGUAAGUCAAAGGUGGAAUUCCACAGCUUAACUGUGGAACUGCCUUUGAUACUGCAAGGCUUGAGUCAGGUAGAGGAGGGCGGAAUUCCCGGUGUAGCGGUGAAAUGCGUAGAUAUCGGGAGGAAGGCCGGUGGCGAAGGCGGCCCUCUGGGCCUGUACUGACACUGAGGCGCGAAAGCGUGGGGAGCAAACAGG
RNAcentral lists this ribosomal RNA (253 nucleotides) under uncultured microorganism. RNAcentral's name for it is "partial 16S ribosomal RNA". It matches the Rfam family "Bacterial small subunit ribosomal RNA", at positions 524 to 776 of the family's 1533-position model. The record is from RNAcentral.